Long non-coding RNA from Oncorhynchus tshawytscha (Chinook salmon), 9143 nucleotides. The record is from Ensembl. NCBI's taxonomy places the organism in Eukaryota, Metazoa, Chordata, Actinopteri, Salmoniformes, Salmonidae.
GUUCUCAUUUGCAACUGCGACCUGGCCAAGAUAAAGCAAAGCAGUUUGACACAUACAACAACACAGAGUUACACAUGGAAUAAACAAACAUACAAUCAAUAAUACAGUACAAAAUUCUAUAUACAGCAUGUGCAAUGAGGUAGGAUAAGAGUGGUAAAGGCAAUAAAUAGGCCAUGGUGGCGAAGUAAUUACAAUAUAGCAAUUCAACACUGGAAUGGUAGAAUGUGCAGAAGAUGAAAGUGCAAGUAGAGAUACUGGGGUGCAAAGGAGCAAGAUAAAUAAAUAAAUACAGUAUGGGGAUGAGGUAGAUUGGAUGGGCAAUUUACAGAUGAGCUAUGUACAGGUGCAGUGAUCUGUGAGCUGCUCUGACAGCUGGUGCUUAAAGCUAGUGAGGGAGUAUCCAGCUUUAGUGAAUUCUGCAGUUCGUUCCAGUCAUUGGCAACAAAGAACUGGAAGGAGAGUCGGCCGAAGGGAGAAUUGGCUUGAGGGUGACCAGUGAGAUAUACCUGCUGGAGCGUGUGCAACGAGUGGGUGCUGCUAUGGUGACCAGUGAGCUGAGACAAGGCGGGGCUUUACCUAGCAGAGACAUGUAGAUGACCUGGAGCCAGUGGGUUUGGCGACAAGUAUGAAGUGAGGGCCAACCAAUGAGAGCGUACAGGUCGCAGUGGUGGGUAGUAUAUGGGGCUUUGGUGACAAAACGGGUGGCACUGUGGUAGACUGCAUCCAAUUUGUUGAGUAGAGUGUUGGAAGCUAUUUUGUAAAUGACAUUGCCGAAUUCGAGGAUCGGUAGGAUGGUCAGUUUUACGAGGGUAUGUUUGGCAGCAUGAGUGAAGGAUGCUUUGUUGCGAAAUAGGAAGCUGAUUCUAGAUUUAAUUUUGGAUUGGAGAUGUUUAUGUCAUCAUAGUAACCAAAUUUAAAAAUAGACAAACCUUGUAUACUGUGGCGACCCGUCAUUCAGGGCAGGUGGGGUUUUGAGCCUCCCCCUAAAAAAUGUUGUUUUUCUUAAAUACGUGUCACAUAUCAGUUUACAAACAAUGUAAAAAAUAAUCAUUGAGUUAAUAAAGCCGCAUACAAACAUGGUCGCUUUUCUGCAUUCUUGGGUAAGGCAGCUCCAAAAUGCAGGUGUUUCAGCCUGGCUCAGUGAUUUCUGUGGUGGUGGGGCAGCCAGCGGAAAAUAUGGAGCAAAGGGGUUGGUAAUGUUCUCCAGUUGCCCUGUGAUUAUCUCAAUGUUCUGUCACUCAUGGGGACACUACGUCACCGCCAAAUCUAAGGGAAGAGCUCAAAAAUUCAAGGCCCUUGGGUGCUGCCAUAGAGUUACAUUAGAAGUGUCCACCCAAGAAGGCUCAAGGUCAUUGGCCACAGAUAAAAUGACGUCAAAUCCCAUUAUAUCUACAAUAGCUUUGAUUGGACCGAUUUCAAAAUCUUAGCUAGCAGUCAUCAACAUAAAUCAAGUCGACAAUCUACUGGAAAAUCCUUUUUAAUCCUUGUCAUAUGAAAAUAAAUAAUGAAGAGAAAUUAUAGAUAAAAUGUAUCGGUGCUCAUCAGCCAUUGGACAUAAACAUUAAACAAGUUGGAAGUCGCAAAUUUAACAAUGAGUGGUUUGGAAGGAAUCAGUGGCUAACUGCAACCAUUGCAAAGCUAUCCCUAGCCUGCUAUUCAGUGGAGUGGGUGUGUGGUCCCAAGUCUGGGUUUAAGGGUCUCUUUUCCAAUCUUAAAAUGAUAAACAUUCAACAUUGGCCAUGCUGUCAAUCCAGCAUGAUUUCUGCCAUGCUCAAAACAAAUUAACUCAAAGCUGGGAAAUCUGACUUCAGUGAGUUCAAAACAACUGGGAACUCGGGAAAAAACGAGCUCCAAGUGGGAAAAUAGGUUUUGAACGGUCAUCCAACUCGGAAUUGUAAGUCGUGAACUUGGGUCUCUUUCUAGAGCUACGACCUGAAGAUCACUGACGUCAUCAUGAUUCAACCUUGUUUUUUUCAGAGUUCCCAGUUGUCUUGAAAGUUCAAUAAAUCCAGAGAAUGCCAGACUUUGAUCUUCUGCUUGGAUCGUUCCAUCUGUGCCACUGACUUAGUCUGGUUUUAAUUCCAGUUUGUUUACAACUUUAUAAUUGAUAUGUUUGAUUCAUGUCUCCAUCUGGAACUAUCCAAGAAGAAGAUACAUCUCCUUCAAAUGUUGAGAUUUGGUUGCGUUGACAACCAAACACAAUUCAGUAUCACUUCUGAAAUACAAUAACUAGCCAAUUAACUUGACGACAAAUUCGCAAAUGAUAUGUUGGAUUCACAUCUCCAACUCAACCAAAAAUAAAAGUUAAAGAAUGGGAUUAAGCCAGUGGCUCACAUGGAACUAUCCAAGCAGUAGAUACAUCUCCUUUAAAUGUCUAUAUUUGGUUGCUUGUCAAGCAAACACAAUUCAAUAUUACUUUUGUAAUACACUAAAUAGCACUAAAUAAAUUGAGGCUAUUUUACAAACUAAUGUAACAUUUAACCUUAAAAUGAGUAACACAUCCCAUGGCCACAUUUUGAGGUUUCUGUAACUAUACAUUUCUUCUUAUGUAAUCAAAUAAAGCGUGCAUGUUCAAGAUAGCAUGCAUAGGUCAUCGCAGGUCUGUGGAGAUCUUCACAAUUCCUGUAAUAAUCUGCUACGUAGAAUCUCAAACGGCAUUGAUCGCUUGCACCAUGUACUUUUAAUGUAAUUUCAACUCCAAUCCAGGUCAUUUGUUUCUGCUAUUAGAUAAAGCACAGUGAUAACACCAUCUGUUGUAUAAAUAAACAAAAUAUCUGACAUUGGAUUCCAAUUUCAACUUUGCUGUGCUUCUUAAUGUUUGAAAGCACAGUGACAGACAUUUGGGUGACAACUACACCAAAAAUCAAACAUUGUUUUUCCAUUGUUGUGCUUUUUGAUGGUUGAACGCAUAGUGAUAACACAUUGGAAAUUCAACUAACGUUGAAAAGCUCCACCCGCAGAAACCUGUCAAGCUGCCACUCUGUUUAAUGUCCCGAGGAGGCCUAGCCAAUGUUCAGAACUCAAACCAGUCAAGGCUGGAAAACAUUUAGCAAAGAUCAUGUUAGCUUGCUUGAUUCAUAAAAAGCAGCACUAAAGUCUAAGGCAGAAGACAUUUUCAGCUCAAAGUGGAUCCUCUUGGACCAUUUUUUGAAAUGGUUUGGUUUGGGCCCUGUUUCUGUCCGUUGGAAGUAGUGGUCUCAAUAAGGGCAGACGUGUAACCCCUCUGCUUCGCUGACAAGUUCUAGAUUGCCACAAGUUCUGGAUUGCACAGCUUUCCCCUGCUGUAUCCUCAUGCUCUGUGGUUGAGGACCAGACCACCACGUGCCCAGUUAAAGUUUGACACGGACUCCGGUCUCAUAUGUGGCUCUAAAAGGGUCUAUUUGUGAGCGCUUCUAUUUCAGGCUGUCUCCUGUCUUCUCUCUGGCCACUGGAGUGCUGUAAGCUGUCUGGAGAAGGAGGCAAAGUCAGGAUUUAUGUCACUCUUUUUCCUCCACAGAGGGAUCAAUGUAAUACUGAAGUCAAACAGGAAUAACAAUUUCAAGGUUUUCCAUGCUUUUCUCAAAAAAUUGUGUUCUGAGCCAUUUUGCUCAUUGUUUACUUUAAACUUGGUCUUAUAGUCUUUUUAUCUAGAUGCAUUAUGAAUGAAGUCUCAUUGUCUAUCUUUUGUUGUCUAACUUUUAAGCUUACCUUUACAGACUGUUGUCAUUACACAUUUGGAGCAGGGGGAUUGAGUCACACCUAAUGGUGAGACAGUGUAACGACUGUAACAUUGUAAUCUUAACAUGCAAUCAAGUUUUAAAGUAACUUUUGGUCAGGUGGUUCACUGUAGAGUGCAGAUGUCUUGUUAUGAUGAUUAUCAAUUAUAAAACGGAUCUGUUGCCUAAAGUUGCUUAUAUUUGAAGGUGAAAACAUCACCAAACUCUACUCACACCACAUGCAGUUAACCCCAUGGAUGGGUAAUCAGAGAGUAGGCAUUGAUUAUGUGCCUCUCUAAAAAUCAGCUGGCUCAAUUUAAAUAGAGAAAUGACAAUGGAUUGGUCUCCAGCGCAAACACCUACUUUCAAAUGACUUUUUAUCUUACAACAUGACUGAGUCACUGAUUUACGUUGAUAUCAAGUGCAUCAGUUUUAUUAUGCCAAAGAUCUGAGCAUUCUCUGGUAUUUGGAUGGUUGGAAACCUGAUGAUGAAUAUAAAAUGAGAAAUAUCGAUAAAAAAUAGCAUAUAUCAUCACUGUGCUGGAACCAUUUAAGCUGUCAGGGCUGCCAUUCAAAAUGAGUAUUCGACCUCAUACUGUAGGGCACUGCAUUUAUACAUAUACUUGUAGAUUUCAGAGCUGUAAUAUAAUGCAAAGCCCCGUUAAUCAUUCCAUUCAGGCACUCUGGCUUCUUGAUGAUUCACACUUGGACGCAAGCCCACCCAAUGUAAGAACUCAUUUAAACAAGUCAUUUCCUACAAUACUCAGGAUCCAGGGAGAAGAGUGCCAGUGAUCCAAUAUACAUACCCUCUGCACUGUGGUGGGCCUUUGGACAAAAAGGGAGACCCUGAACUCCGGAACAGAAAGCCUGAAUAUGCUGAAUACUCUUUAAAGUGUAACUGGCAGGGUUUUUAACUACUUUGCAGAUAUGAAACAAACAGAAAAUCAUAAUAUCAGCAAAAAUAUCAAAUUCACAGUUUAUGCUCCAACCCCUAUAAAAGGUUUCAAAAAUAGGUUAUAUUUGACAAAAAAAAUCCAUGACGUACAGUAAGGCAUUGUUGACAGAAUUGAUGGACGCAGUUCAAUGUAUGAUUAACAUAAUUCACCAAUAAAUGCGUUGGUAGUCCAAAAUAGAUUGCUAUCAGGUUAUAAAUCACACCUACCUAUAAAAUAGUUUGCUGCCUCCACCCACUCAGUUUCAAUGACUCAAUAUUUUGAACACUAACGGACGACUGUAACUAGCCUGGGAAUGUCAGUACAAUCAAACUACCAAGGGAAAUGAUCAGAAGUCAGUCAUAACUUGGCUAAUAGGCUAGCGCACAUGUGUCACACAAGGCCCGCAGGCCGAAUAGGACACACAAGCAAGUAUUAGUCAACAGUUGAGUCAUCUACUUUAUGAAAUUACAGCCUGAUGCACUUGCUUCGGUGGAUUCAACUUCAACUAUAUUUGAGCAGUAGCCUAGGUUGACACCUCAACUACAAUACAUUUUGAGCGCGCCAUACAGCAAUGCUGCGUUCAACUGCACCGGUGAUCGAUGGCGAACAGCUCUUUUUUUAAAAACAUGUUUAAACUUAAAAUGUUACAACAACCUAUUUGUUACCUUUUUGUUAUUUUGAUUUAUUCAAUACUGUUUUAUUAGGGUCGCAGCAUAUUAUGCGCAUCUACAAGCAUAGCAGCAAAGGCUGGACAAAUAUGAUUUAUCUCUUUUGUUUUAAUAUGUGAACAUUCUAUAUACAGCAAGCUAAAAACACGGAGCCUAACGUUAGCUUGCUAGGUGUUAGCAGGAUGUCAUGUCAUUGGAGGUGUUGGUGAGUGACGGACAUUUCCUUUCAUACGGUUGUUCGUUGCCUAUAGCGAGAUAUGCAGGUGUCAUUUGGUUAACGUUAGCUAGCAAGAAAUGUGAACCGCUAUGCUAGUUAGCUAGCUAUGCUGAACUUAGUUGUCGAUCAAAUGGGCGGGCAGGCAGGCAAGUUCCCAUUCAGAUGUCAAAACGUGGGUUGGGACAGGCAUGCAUUGGCAGGCAAACUGCAAAAGGAUGAGCUAUAGCUGGCAUUAGUUGUUGAUCUUGUUCUUGAUUUGUGCAUAGGCAACUGAGGGAGAGAGCCUACCGUUUCAUGGUUGUUUGAUCAAUAGUACUGUGAAGUUCCCAAAUGUAAGAGAACUCCCAUGUUAUUUGCAGAAAUCUAUUCAGGUGGCUUUUGGCGAAUGCGUUCGAAUGUUGUAAAGCCGCGCUGUUGUUACUGGCUGUAAUCACAGUCCAGUUCAAAGAGGAUUGCAGGCAUGUGUGGCAAACAGCUUAUUUGCAUAUCAGCCUACUGUAGCUAUGAUUGUUCCACUUUAAGUUACAAAGCAAGCUACACUUUAUAUCCUCUCUUCAGCAAUUUGAGAGGAUGGCUAAAUUGACCUAAUUUCAAGUCCUCCAGUGAUUUGCAUUCAUGGACAUCAAUAUUGCCAUCUCGUACUGUGGUACUGCCUAAGCAAUGAGGGAAAGAUGGGUCUUUCCCUCAUUGAGGUCAGGGUAAUGCGAAGAUUAAUAUUAAGGUCAUGCCAAAUUAGGGGUUAGGGUUAUGCCUUGGUUAGGGUUAUGGCAAACAUUUUUGAUGUAAAUGCAUUGUAUUACCAAUCUAGGGUUUGCCAGUUGAAUAUACACUACCUAUUCUCUAUUUUGGGAUGUAAUUGCAACAACUGACAACAAAAAUAUACUUGCAAAUUACCAAUAAAUAACAUUGAUUGUAAUACAUGUAUUUAGAUACAUUUCAGCUAUAGCUUCACAAUUUACACUUUUUUUAUUCUCAAUUUAAAAUUGACUAGGGGAGAGUGAGCCAUUUUUUACAUUCAGCAUGACUGUCAAAGGAAAUAUAGUAUUAUUUCUAACAAAGAUAUCUACAUAUAUUUCAGGAUGUCGUGUAUCCCUGAAAAUAAUCAGAAUUAAUGUAAACAUUACAAUUUUGAAAACAUAGCUUGUCCAAAAAAAGUCUCUUGGUACAACUUACCCCAGGCAAAUUAAGCCGCCUACAAAUGAAUGUACCAAAUGAAAUAUUUCCACGACCUUUUUAAAACCCAUCUCUAUCUUUAUUUCCCAAACGCAAUUCAACACAAUCGCUUCUUUGUCUUCGAAGCAUCUUCAACACAGGUUUAACACCUAACAAAACACUUUUAACAUAGGCCUGUUGUUACCUCAGUGAUAAUGCCUUGCAUUAGGUCUGGGAAUUUACUCAACUUGCCAUUGGCUCAACUUACCCCAUGGCAAACAUUUUGACUAUAUUAGCCCACACAGCUCCAAGGAUGCACUGUCAUGCUAGGUUUAGGAUCUCACAGUUAAGCUUAUAGAGACCCCGACUGAUAUAGAACAAUCUGGUUUAGAUACAUCAUGAAACCUUUAACACAAUCAAUUCAUUUGACUUGGUAAAAAUCUGUUUUGUUGGAGCUGACUUGCUUACCACUUUUUCCAUGUGGUUUCAUCCUUCAGACUCCGUGAUAUGAUGACCUCUUCCUAAAUGUUUGGUCAACUUACCCCUAUGGCUCAACUUACUCCACUCUCCCCUUAACAAUUUGUGUAGUACUGUAGGUCUAGUGAGUUCUAAAUGGAAAAAGAGAAUCCAGUUCCAUCUAGUGGUAGUAUAAGUAAAAUCACUAGUUUCUGUUACAGUGACACUGUAAAAGCAUUGGUUACUCAAUGAGACAAAAUCACUAUUGUUACCAUCAACAUCAGUCAUUACAGUAUAAACAAUUUAGCCAACAAUAAAACAGAUCCUGUUCAGAAUUAUCUUGUUUGCACAGUUGACAGGCAAAGUUGAGGACAAUAUCUAUAUUUUCUUCAUUUGUUUAAUUGCACAAACAUAGGAUAUGACAAUCAUAGAGUUGAAAGAAAUGCAUGUGCAGGAGAAGUAAGAAACCCAAUGCGAGCGUGGAAACUGGUGUCUGAGCCUGUCCCCUCCCUGGAUGGUUUGGUGGUCUCUCUAUAGGCUGGUUUGUUUAACCUCACUGGCCUUGCCAGCUUCCAUUUCUACAGCUGUGUUCUCAUACAAACCACCAUCUUCCUCUCUGCAAGACAAAAACACGGGCUUUACAAUGAGCGUGUGUAGUUUGAUAGCCUUCUGUCUCGGACUGCAGCAGUUGAACAUUUCAUAAGAAAAUACACUUGCUUGUGAGAUCCUGGUAAGUUAGUUAAGGACAACAGGAGGUCACAAUUUUAAAGUAUGAAAAGAUUAUGUCAGGCAGUAGUGGAAAAGUACCCAUAUGUCAUAUUUUAUUUAAAAAAAUGCCUCACGUGAAAGUCACCCAGUAAAAUCCUACUUGAGUAAAAGUCUAGAAGUAUUUGGUUUUAAAUAUACAUAAGUAUCAAAAGUAAAUGUAAUUGCUCAAAUUUACAUAAGUAUAAAAAGUAUAAAUAAUUUCAAAUUGCUUAUAUUAAAGCAAACCAAACAGCACCAUAUGACUUGUUUUUUAUUUAAUUUACAGAGAACCAGGGGCAUGCUCCAACACUCAGACAUAUUUACAAACAUAGCAUUUAUAUUUAGUGGGCCUGAGGCAGUAGGGAUGACCAGGGAUGUUCUCUUGAUAAGUGCGUUGAAUUUGACCAUUUUCCUGUCCUGCUAAGCAUUCAAAAUGUAACGAGUACCUUUGGGUGUCAGGGAAAAUGUAUAGAGUAAAAAGUACAUUAUUUUAUUCAGGAAUGUAGUAAAAUAAAUGUAAAAGUUGACAAAUAUAAAUAGUAAAGUACAGAUACCCCAAAAAAUGACUUAAGUAGUACUUUAAAGUAUUUUUACUGAAGUACUUUAAACCACUGGUUGCUGGUGCCUGUUACACAAGGUACCUCUGGUCAUCUCUGUGGACGUGUCAUUGUAGUCACUGACUGAAUAUUACCUUGGCAAAUGGCUAGCAGCCUGCACUGAUAAGACAAUAGUAUAGCAGAUCAGCAAUAAGCUAAAGGAUCUCUAAGGUUAAGGAGAUUAUUUUUGCUUAGAUAUUUACCCUUGUCAUCCCACUUUACAACAAGUGUCACUAAUACCAUGUAAGUACACAGAAUAUAUGCAGGUGCAGUGCAUUUAGGUUAUCACCUCUGUUGUACUUACUUUUCCUUCUUGAAGAAAAGCCUUUGUACAAUAAGGAUGACGAAGACGAUGAAGAGGAAUCCCACUACAGCAGCCAGACCAACAAGCCAAGGCUGCAGUGUCCCACCCUUGGAUGUAGUGAGCCGUACGCCUCCUAUCGUUUGGCUUACCACUCUGGGCCUGGUUAACACAAACCGCCAGUGAUAAACAGACCAGGAAAGUUUUGUGGAGAGACAUUAUGAAUCCUUGUUGAUCCCAGGAGGCCUCUGAGGUUGGGGUUGUGUAGAACCUGUUCACUGUCACGAUACUCCUUCUGGACUGGUAACGUCCUGUGAGUUCAAAGUGCAGUAUACAGCACAGAGAGCAACCAGAUUGCACCAUGUUGCCAAUGAUA